This 425-nucleotide ribosomal RNA is filed under the name Enterobacter cloacae. Its description in RNAcentral is "bacterial SSU rRNA". It matches the Rfam family "Bacterial small subunit ribosomal RNA", at positions 702 to 1126 of the family's 1533-position model. Lineage: Bacteria; Pseudomonadati; Pseudomonadota; Gammaproteobacteria; Enterobacterales; Enterobacteriaceae. The record is from RNAcentral.
GGAAAUACCGGUGGCGAAGGCGGCCUUCUGGACAAAGACUGACGCUCAGGUGCGAAAGCGUGGGGAGCAAACAGGAUUAGAUACCCUGGUAGUCCACGCCGUAAACGAUGUCUAUUUGGAGGUUGUGCCCUUGAGGCGUGUCUUCCUGAGCUAACGCGUUAAAUCAACCGCCUGGGGAGUACGGCCGCAAGGUUAAAACUCAAAUGAAUUGACGGGGGCCCGCACAAGCGGUGGAACAUGUGGUUUAAUUCGAUGCAACGCGAAAAACCUUACCUGGUCUUGACAUCCACAGAACUUUCCAGAGAUGGAUUGGUGCCUUCUGGAACUGUGAGACAAGUGCUGCAUGGCUGUCGUCAGCUCGUGUUGUGAAAUGUUGGGUUAAUUCCCGCAACGAGCGCAACCCUUAUCCUUUGUUGCCAGCGGUU